This 457-nucleotide ribosomal RNA is filed under the name uncultured bacterium. RNAcentral describes it as "partial 16S ribosomal RNA". It matches the Rfam family "Bacterial small subunit ribosomal RNA", at positions 338 to 795 of the family's 1533-position model. The record is from RNAcentral.
CCUACGGGAGGCAGCAGUGGGGAAUAUUGCACAAUGGGGGAAACCCUGAUGCAGCGACGCCGCGUGAGUGAAGAAGUAUUUCGGUAUGUAAAGCUCUAUCAGCAGGGAAGAAAUAAAGUCCUUCGGACUUUGGACGGUACCUGACUAAGAAGCCCCGGCUAACUACGUGCCAGCAGCCGCGGUAAUACGUAGGGGGCAAGCGUUAUCCGGAAUUACUGGGUGUAAAGGGAGCGUAGACGGUUAAGUAAGUCUGAAGUGAAAGGCCGGGGCCCAACCCCGGGACUGCUCUGGAAACUAUUGAGCUUGAGUGCAGGAGAGGUAAGCGGAAUUCCUAGUGUAGCGGUGAAAUGCGUAGAUAUUAGGAGGAACACCAGUGGCGAAGGCGGCUUACUGGACUGUAACUGACGUUGAGGCUCGAAAGCGUGGGGAGCAAACAGGAUUAGAUACCCCAGUAGUC